UUUAGAGUUUGGAUUCCUGGCUCAGGACGAACGCUGGCGGCGUGCCUAAUACAUGCAAGUCGUACGCUUCUUUCUUCCACGAGAGCUUGCUCCACAUGAAAAAGAGGAGUGGCGAACGGGUGAGUAACACGUGGGUAACCUGCCCAUCAGAAGGGGAUAACACUUGGAAACAGGUGCUAAUACCGCAUAACAGUUGAUACCGCAUGGCAUAGGAGUGAAAGGCGCUUUCGGGUGUCGCUGAUGGAUGGACCCGCGGUGCAUUAGCUAGUUGGUGAGGUAACGGCUCACCAAGGCCACGAUGCAUAGCCGACCUGAGAGGGUGAUCGGCCACACUGGGACUGAGACACGGCCCAGACUCCUACGGGAGGCAGCAGUAGGGAAUCUUCGGCAAUGGACGAAAGUCUGACCGAGCAACGCCGCGUGAGUGAAGAAGGUUUUCGGAUCGUAAAACUCUGUUGUUAGAGAAGAACAAGGACGAGAGUAACUGUUCGUCCCUUGACGGUAUCUAACCAGAAAGCCACGGCUAACUACGUGCCAGCAGCCGCGGUAAUACGUAGGUGGCAAGCGUUGUCCGGAUUUAUUGGGCGUAAAGCGAGCGCAGGCGGUUUCUUAAGUCUGAUGUGAAAGCCCCCGGCUCAACCGGGGAGGGUCAUUGGAAACUGGGAGACUUGAGUGCAGAAGAGGAGAGUGGAAUUCCAUGUGUAGCGGUGAAAUGCGUAGAUAUAUGGAGGAACACCAGUGGCGAAGGCGGCUCUCUGGUCUGUAACUGACGCUGAGGCUCGAAAGCGUGGGGAGCAAACAGGAUUAGAUACCCUGGUAGUCCACGCCGUAAACGAUGAGUGCUAAGUGUUGGGAGGGUUUCCGCCCUUCAGUGCUGCAGCUAACGCAUUAAGCACUUCCGCCUGGGGAGUACGACCGCAAGGUUGAAACUCAAAGGAAUUGACGGGGGCCCGCACAAGCGGUGGAGCAUGUGGUUUAAUUCGAAGCAACGCGAAGAACCUUACCAGGUCUUGACAUCCUUUGACCACUCUAGAGAUAGAGCUUUCCCUUCGGGGACAAAGUGACAGGUGGUGCAUGGUUGUCGUCAGCUCGUGUCGUGAGAUGUUGGGUUAAGUCCCGCAACGAGCGCAACCCUUAUUGUUAGUUGCCAUCAUUCAGUUGGGCACUCUAGCAAGACUGCCGGUGACAAACCGGAGGAAGGUGGGGAUGACGUCAAAUCAUCAUGCCCCUUAUGACCUGGGCUACACACGUGCUACAAUGGGAAGUACAACGAGUCGCUAAAUCGCGAGGCUAUGCUAAUCUCUUAAAGCUUCUCUCAGUUCGGAUUGCAGGCUGCAACUCGCCUGCAUGAAGCCGGAAUCGCUAGUAAUCGCGGAUCAGCACGCCGCGGUGAAUACGUUCCCGGGCCUUGUACACACCGCCCGUCACACCACGAGAGUUUGUAACACCCGAAGUCGGUGAGGUAACCUUUUUGGAGCCAGCCGCCUAAGGUGGGAUAGAUGAUUGGGGUGAAGUCGUAACAAGGUAACCAGAG
RNAcentral lists this ribosomal RNA (1534 nucleotides) under Enterococcus faecium. RNAcentral describes it as "bacterial SSU rRNA". It matches the Rfam family "Bacterial small subunit ribosomal RNA". The record is from RNAcentral. Lineage: Bacteria; Bacillati; Bacillota; Bacilli; Lactobacillales; Enterococcaceae.